This 562-nucleotide ribosomal RNA is filed under the name uncultured bacterium. RNAcentral's name for it is "bacterial LSU rRNA". It matches the Rfam family "Bacterial large subunit ribosomal RNA", at positions 635 to 1192 of the family's 2925-position model. The record is from RNAcentral.
GGUUGGCGAGGUUAAGCCGUUGCAGGUGUAGCCGUAGGGAAACCGAGUCUGAAUAGGGCGUUAGUCGCAUGCUGUAGACCCGAAACGGGAUGAGCUAUCCAUGGGCAGGUUGAAGCGAGGGUAAAACUUCGUGGAGGACCGAACACUUGAAGGUUGAAAACUUCUGUGAUGACCUGUGGAUAGGGGUGAAAGGCCAAUCAAAUUCCGUGAUAGCUGGUUCUCUCCGAAAUGCAUUUAGGUGCAGCGUUUAACGAUUACUACCGGGGGUACAGCACUGACUAAGCUAGGGGCGUUACCGCGCUACCAAACUUUAUCAAACUCUGAAUACCGGUAAGUACAGUUACUGCAGUGAGACUGCGGAUGCUAAGGUCCGUAGUCAAAAGGGAAAGAGCCCAGAUCAUCAGCUAAGGUCCCUAAAUUGACGCUAAGUGGAGAACGUUGUGGAACUACUGUGACAGUCCAGGAGGUUGGGCUUAGAAGCCAGCCAUCCUUUAAAGAAAGCGUAAUAGCUCACUGGACUAGUGGUUCUCGCGCGGAAAAUCGUAACGGGUCGACGCGGCCG